Molecule: ribosomal RNA, 475 nt
Filed under: uncultured bacterium
Lineage: Bacteria
Description: bacterial SSU rRNA
Rfam family: Bacterial small subunit ribosomal RNA
Source: RNAcentral
UUCGAACUCCUACGGGAGGCAGCAGUGAGGAAUAUUGGUCAAUGGACGGAAGUCUGAACCAGCCAAGUAGCGUGCAGGAUGACGGCCCUAUGGGUUGUAAACUGCUUUUGUAUGGGGAUAAAGUUAGGGACGUGUCCCUAUUUGCAGGUACCAUACGAAUAAGGACCGGCUAAUUCCGUGCCAGCAGCCGCGGUAAUACGGAAGGUCCAGGCGUUAUCCGGAUUUAUUGGGUUUAAAGGGAGCGUAGGCUGGAGAUUAUGUUGUUUGUGAAAUGUAGACGCUCAACGUCUGAAUUGCAGCGCAUACUGGUUUCCUUGAGUACGAAAAACGUUGGCGGAAUUCGUCGUGUAGCGGUGAAAUGCUUAGAUAUGACGAAGAACUCCGAUUGCGAAGGCAGCUGACGGGAGCGCAACUGACGCUUAAGCUCGAAGGUGCGGGUAUCGAACAGGAUUAGAAACCCCUGUAGUCCAGAGAA